This 509-nucleotide ribosomal RNA is filed under the name uncultured Bacteroidales bacterium. RNAcentral describes it as "partial 16S ribosomal RNA". The record is from RNAcentral. Lineage: Bacteria; Pseudomonadati; Bacteroidota; Bacteroidia; Bacteroidales.
CACGGAGUUAGCCGAUGCUUUUUCUUCGGAUACACGCAGUCCGGGACACGUCCCGGGUUUUGUUCUCCGACAAAAGAGGCUUACAACCCAUAGGGCCGUCUUCCCUCACGCGGCUUGGCUGGUUCAGGAUCUCUCCCAUUGACCAAUAUUCCUCACUGCUGCCUCCCGUAGGAGUCUGGUCCGUGUCUCAGUACCAGUGUGGGGGACCUUCCUCUCAGAACCCCUACGCAUCGUCGCCACGGUGGGCCGUUACCCCGCCGUCAAGCUAAUGCGCCGCAUGCCCAUCCUCUUCCGAUGAAUCUUUCCUCGAUCUCGGAUGCCCGAAACCGAUAUACGCGGGAUUAGCCUCCCUUUCGGAAGGUUGUCCCCCUGAAGAGGGCAGGUUGCAUACGUGUUACUCACCCGUGCGCCGGUCGCCGGCAAGGAAAGCAAGCUUCCCUCCCGAUGCCCCUCGACUUGCAUGUGUUAAGCCUGCCGCUAGCGUUCAUCCUGAGCCAGGAUCAAACUCU